This 570-nucleotide ribosomal RNA is filed under the name Candidatus Kaiserbacteria bacterium. Its description in RNAcentral is "partial 23S ribosomal RNA". It matches the Rfam family "Bacterial large subunit ribosomal RNA", at positions 1 to 589 of the family's 2925-position model. Lineage: Bacteria; Candidatus Kaiseribacteriota. The record is from RNAcentral.
AAUAAGCUAAACAAGGGCGCAUGGGGAAUGCCUAGGCUCUCAGAGGCGAAGAAGGACGUGAUAAGCUGCGAAAAGCUGCGGGGACGGGCACACACCGAUUGAUCCGCAGAUAUCCGAAUGGGGCAACCCACCAUGUUGAAGACAUGGUAUCCGCAAGGAGGCAAACCCGGGGAACUGAAACAUCUAAGUACCCGGAGGAGAAGAAAACAAAAGUGAUUCCGUAAGUAGUGGCGAGCGAACGCGGAUUAGCCCAAACCAGCCCCGUUACGGCGGGCCUGGGGUUGUAGGACCACGGCAUUGGAGGCAGGAUGAACUAGAACCCUUUGGAAAGAGGGGCCAGAGACGGUGAUAGCCCGGUAUAGGCAAAGAAUGCGGACAUAGUGGUAUCCUGAGUAGUGCGGGGCACGUGAAACCCUGUAUGAAACAGUCGGGACCAUCCGAUAAGGCUAAAUACUCCUGAGAGACCGAUAGUGAACUAGUACCGUGAGGGAAAGGUGAAAAGAACCCUGAAUAAGGGAGUGAAAAAGAUCCUGAAACCAUACGCUUACAAGCGGUCGGAGUCCCGCCUUU